Brachypodium distachyon (stiff brome) is the source of this 88-nucleotide non-coding RNA. Lineage: Eukaryota; Viridiplantae; Streptophyta; Magnoliopsida; Poales; Poaceae. The record is from Rfam.
GACAAUGGUGAUGGGUUCUUGCAGACCUGUAAUGAUUCUUGUGGAAAUGAUCACAUGGUUCAAAGAACAUCUAAGGGACUGAGUGGUC